GCCAUCGGCCAUACCACGCUGAAUGCGCCGGUUCUCGUCCGAUCACCGAGCUAAGCAACAUCGGGCUCCGUCGUACUUGGGGGGAUGGGAACACGGAGUGCUGAUGGCA
This 109-nucleotide ribosomal RNA is filed under the name Ixodes scapularis (black-legged tick). Lineage: Eukaryota; Metazoa; Arthropoda; Arachnida; Ixodida; Ixodidae. The record is from RNAcentral.